CUCGGGGACGUCGCUGUAGCAGACCAACAC
RNAcentral lists this non-coding RNA (30 nucleotides) under Actinoplanes sp. SE50/110. The record is from RNAcentral. Lineage: Bacteria; Bacillati; Actinomycetota; Actinomycetes; Micromonosporales; Micromonosporaceae.